RNAcentral lists this ribosomal RNA (467 nucleotides) under uncultured bacterium. Its description in RNAcentral is "partial 16S ribosomal RNA". It matches the Rfam family "Bacterial small subunit ribosomal RNA", at positions 27 to 506 of the family's 1533-position model. The record is from RNAcentral.
GGACGAACGCUGGCGGCGUGCUUAACACAUGCAAGUCGAACGGAAAGGCUCCAGCUUGCUGGAGUACUCGAGUGGCGAACGGGUGAGUAACACGUGGGUAAUCUGCCCUGCACUCUGGGAUAAGCCUGGGAAACUGGGUCUAAUACUGGAUAUGACCUUUCUCCUUAUGGGGUUUGGUGGAAAGUUUUUCGGUGUAGGAUGAGCCCGCGGCCUAUCAGCUUGUUGGUGGGGUGAUGGCCUACCAAGGCGACGACGGGUAGCCGGCCUGAGAGGGUGAUCGGCCACAUUGGGACUGAGAUACGGCCCAGACGCCUACGGGAGGCAGCAGUGGGGAAUAUUGCACAAUGGGCGGAAGCCUGAUGCAGCGACGCCGCGUGAGGGAUGACGGCCUUCGGGUUGUAAACCUCUUUCAGCAGGGACGAAGCGUAAGUGACGGUACCUGCAGAAGAAGCACCGGCUAACUACGU